UUGACUUUCCAAAUAAAUA
This 19-nucleotide small nuclear RNA is filed under the name Arabidopsis thaliana (thale cress). Its description in RNAcentral is "snRNA_04866". Lineage: Eukaryota; Viridiplantae; Streptophyta; Magnoliopsida; Brassicales; Brassicaceae. The record is from RNAcentral.